Molecule: ribosomal RNA, 465 nt
Filed under: uncultured bacterium
Lineage: Bacteria
Description: partial 16S ribosomal RNA
Rfam family: Bacterial small subunit ribosomal RNA
Source: RNAcentral
GACGAACGCUGGCGGCGUGCUUAACACAUGCAAGUCGAACGGAAAGGCCCCUUUGGGGGUUCUCGUGUGGCGAACGGGUGAGUAACACGUGAGUAACCUUCCCUUGACUUCGGGAUAACUUCCGGAAACUGGGGCUAAUACCGGCUAGGAAUCCUUGCUGCAUGGUGGGGGUUGGACAGCUUCGGCGGUUUUGGAUGGACUGGUGGCUUAUCAGCUUGUUGGUGGGGUAGUGGCUUACCAAGGCUUUGACGGGUAGCCGGCCUGAGAGGGUGACCGGCCACAUUGAGACUGAGAUGAGGCCCAGACGCCGACGGGAGGAAGCAGGGGGGAAGAUUGAACAAGGGGCGGAAGCCGGAUGCAGCAAGGCUGCGUGCGGGAUGACGGUCUUAGGGUUGAAAAACGGUUGCAGCAGGGGAGAAGCUUGUGGUGACGUUACCUGCAGAAGAAGCACCGGCUAACUACGUG